Gasterosteus aculeatus aculeatus (three-spined stickleback) is the source of this 813-nucleotide long non-coding RNA. RefSeq lists it as uncharacterized. NCBI's taxonomy places the organism in Eukaryota, Metazoa, Chordata, Actinopteri, Perciformes, Gasterosteidae. The record is from RefSeq and is a predicted model, not a curated record.
UGAAUUCGAGAGAGAAGUGGAGGACGGCGGCUGGGAGCCAGCGCCGGGGUAUCGAUGGAAAAUAAUAAAUGACCAAUUGAGGCUGUUGUUGGUGGAGGUGAGUGGAGAUACCACUGAGAAAAGGAAACAUGAUGUUGUGGAGCACACGGGACACGCGGUGAGAAAGUUGUUAGAGGAGAAUGGCCAUUAGAAGCUCAGUAAAUCAGGGUACAGGUUUCAUCCCGUACGAACUGACCACCGGGAGACAGUUCCCUGGACGUAGUGCUGGCCUGAAGCUCAGGCCCAACCCGGAAGCUCCGCCAGGUGAGUAUGCAACUCAUUAUAACGAACUACGAGCUCUCGUUUCAGAUUUUGCGGACCAGGUGCGAGGAGCCGCGGUGGACCGGACCAUACCAGGUGGAGGAGAGAACCUCACAUGCAGUGAGGCUGAGAGGGAAAGGUGAUACCUGGUACCACUGGAGCCAGUGCGCCCCUGCAGAGGAACCAUCUCGCACUCUCCAGGACGUCCUGAAGGAUUAGGAGCAAGAGGCGGCAACAAACGCACUCUCAACGGGCAGUUGACCGACAGACACCCAGAGCCCCAUGCAGGACUCCAUUCAGAGCAGCACACGUAGUCGCCCUGUUUGAGACGUGCUCUGAUGUGCCGCAAGUUCGCCUUAUAGACUUUGGUGUGAGCAGUUUUGACGAGAGAGAUGCAUUUUUCAAGAGCUUCUACGACUACCAGGACUUCAUCGGGACGUGUUUGAGGAUCCACCCGACGAAUCACUCAGGAGGAGCCCCAAAAUACUUAAAUAAACUUAAACAAAAACUAUA